Molecule: ribosomal RNA, 494 nt
Filed under: uncultured bacterium
Lineage: Bacteria
Description: bacterial SSU rRNA
Rfam family: Bacterial small subunit ribosomal RNA
Source: RNAcentral
CGGGUGAGUAACGCGUGGGUAACCUGCCUUACACCCCGGGGAUAACAGUUAGAAAUGACUGCUAAUACCGCAUAAGACCCCGGUACCGCAUGGUACAGAGGUAAAAACUGAGGUGGUGUAAGAUGGACCCGCGUCUGAUUAGGUAGUUGGUGAGGUAACGGCUCACCAAGCCGACGAUCAGUAGCCGGCCUGAGAGGGUGGACGGCCACAUUGGGACUGAGACACGGCCCAGACUCCUACGGGAGGCAGCAGUGGGGAAUAUUGCACAAUGGGGGAAACCCUGAUGCAGCGACGCCGCGUGAGCGAUGAAGUAUUUCGGUAUGUAAAGCUCUAUCAGCAGGGAAGAAAAUGUUUUUUUUUGACUAAGAAGCCCCGGCUAACUACGUGCCAGCAGCCGCGGUAAUACGUAGGGGGCAAGCGUUAUCCGGAUUUACUGGGUGUAAAGGGAGCGUAGACGGCAGCACAAGUCUGGAGUGAAAUCCCGGGGCUUAACC